AAAAUGACUCUCGGCAACGGAUAUCUCGGCUCUCGCAUCGAUGAAGAACGCAGCGAAAUGCGAUACUUGGUGUGAAUUGCAGGAUCCCGCGAACCAUCGAGUCUUUGAACGCAAGUUGCGCCCAAAGCCUUUUGGCCGAGGGCACGUCUGCCUGGGUGUCAC
Molecule: ribosomal RNA, 162 nt
Filed under: Triadica rotundifolia
Lineage: Eukaryota; Viridiplantae; Streptophyta; Magnoliopsida; Malpighiales; Euphorbiaceae
Description: 5.8S ribosomal RNA
Rfam family: 5.8S ribosomal RNA
About the family: 5.8S ribosomal RNA (5.8S rRNA) is a component of the large subunit of the eukaryotic ribosome.
Source: RNAcentral